Molecule: ribosomal RNA, 429 nt
Filed under: Bacteroidota bacterium
Lineage: Bacteria; Pseudomonadati; Bacteroidota
Description: Bacteroidetes bacterium partial 16S ribosomal RNA
Rfam family: Bacterial small subunit ribosomal RNA
Source: RNAcentral
UAGGGAAUCUUCGGCAAUGGGGGGAACCCUGACCGAGCAACGCCGCGUGAGUGAAGAAGGUUUUCGGAUCGUAAAGCUCUGUUGUUAAGGAAGAACGAGUGUGAGAAUGGAAAGUUCAUACUGUGACGGUACUUAACCAGAAAGGGACGGCUAACUACGUGCCAGCAGCCGCGGUAAUACGUAGGUCCCGAGCGUUGUCCGGAUUUAUUGGGCGUAAAGCGAGUGCAGGCGGACUAGCCAGUCAGUCUUAAAAGUUCGGGGCUUAACCCCGUGAUGGGAUUGAAACUACUAGUCUAGAGUAUCGGAGAGGAAAGUGGAAUUCCUAGUGUAGCGGUGAAAUGCGUAGAUAUUAGGAAGAACACCAGUGGCGAAGGCGACUUUCUGGACGAACACUGACGCUGAGGCGCGAAAGCCAGGGGAGCGAACGGG